RNAcentral lists this ribosomal RNA (460 nucleotides) under uncultured bacterium. RNAcentral describes it as "partial 16S ribosomal RNA". It matches the Rfam family "Bacterial small subunit ribosomal RNA", at positions 338 to 795 of the family's 1533-position model. The record is from RNAcentral.
CCUACGGGAGGCUGCAGUGAGGAAUAUUGGUCAAUGGCCGGGAGGCUGAACCAGCCAAGUCGCGUGAGGGAAGACGGCCCUACGGGUUGUAAACCUCUUUUGUCAGGGAGCAAGGUGCAGGUCGGGACCGGCUGUGAGAGGACCUGAAGAAAAAGCAUCGGCUACCUCCGUGCCAGCAGCCGCGUUAAUACGUCGGUGGCAAGCGUUAUCCGGAUUGAUUGGGCGUAACGGGAACGCCGGCGGUCUUUUAAGUCUGAUGUGAAAGCCUGCGGCUUAACCGGAGUAGUGCAUUGGAAACUGGGAGACUUGCGUGCAGCAGAGUGUAGUGGAACUCCAUGUGUAGCGGUGAAAUGCGUAGCUAUAUGGAAGAACACCAGUGGCGAACGCGGCUCUCUGGUCUGUAACUGACGCUGCGGUUCGACAGCGUGGGUAGCAAACAGGAUUAGAUACCCCUGUAGUC